AGAUAUCGAGGAUCUACCCAUAUAAAGAAAGAGGUUAUGAAAUUUCCUAAAUUUACAAAACCAAAUUAAUUAUUUUAUCAACACAAAAAUAUAACGAU
RNAcentral lists this ribosomal RNA (98 nucleotides) under Mus cervicolor (fawn-colored mouse). Its description in RNAcentral is "16S mitochondrial ribosomal RNA". The record is from RNAcentral. Lineage: Eukaryota; Metazoa; Chordata; Mammalia; Rodentia; Muridae.